UCCGGUUUGUCACCGGCAGUCUUGCAUGAGUCCCCAGCACCACAAGGGCCUGCUGGCAACACGGGACAAGGGUUGCGCUCGUUGCGGGACUUAACCCAACAUCUCACGACACGAGCUGACGACAGCCAUGCACCACCUGUACACCGACCACAAGGGGGACCCUGUCUCCAGAGUUUUCCGGUGUAUGUCAAGCCUUGGUAAGGUUCUUCGCGUUGCGUCGAAUUAAGCCACAUGCUCCGCCGCUUGUGCGGGCCCCCGUCAAUUCCUUUGAGUUUCAGCCUUGCGGCCGUACUCCCCAGGCGGGGCACUUAUCGCGUUAGCUUCGACACGGAGAGGGUCGAUCCCCCCCGCGUCUAGUGCCCAUCGUUUACGGCGUGGACUAC
This 383-nucleotide unclassified non-coding RNA is filed under the name uncultured Actinomycetes bacterium. RNAcentral's name for it is "uncultured actinobacterium contains 16S-23S intergenic spacer region". The record is from RNAcentral. Lineage: Bacteria; Bacillati; Actinomycetota; Actinomycetes.